CGCGCCGGUGUCGAAGCCCGCACCGGAUUCCCGGUGCCGGGUGAGAGGGAACCCGGUGAGAAUCCGGGACUGUCCCGCAGCGGUAUGCAGGAACGACCGCCGUCAUCACGCACUGGGCCGCAGGCUUGGGAAGCGACGGCCAGUAGGUCGGUCGAGCACAACGACCGGUGCCCGCGAGUCCGAAGACCUGCCGACUGUGCCGGAUACGC
This 209-nucleotide non-coding RNA is filed under the name Nocardia salmonicida. Lineage: Bacteria; Bacillati; Actinomycetota; Actinomycetes; Mycobacteriales; Nocardiaceae. The record is from RNAcentral.